GAGCAUUUACCGAAAACUCACUAUUUUCGUAGGGGUUAACCCAUAGAUUUUGAAAAAAAUCAAAAAAAUUGAAAAUACUGUUUUAAUACAUAUUUGAAUCAAGUAAAAAAAUAUGAUGAAGUUCAAAGAGGUUUGGAACCUUUGUUGUCUCCGUUUCUCUAGGGAAUAGCAAUUUUAUAGUGGUUAGUCUAAUGAUUUAGGGAGUAUUUGCAGUUUUCCUAAAUUAAUGGAUAAAAAAUUAGAACGAUGUCCAUGUACCAUGAAAAGAAGUUUAUCAUACAUAAAUACAAAGUUAUAAUGUGGUUUUAAAUUUUAAAACAAAUUUAGAGAUUAUAGGCUUCAAAUAUAGAGCAUUUACCGAAAACUCACUAUUUUCGUAGGGGG
RNAcentral lists this long non-coding RNA (384 nucleotides) under Brassica rapa (field mustard). Its description in RNAcentral is "long non-coding RNA (BRAP_LNC008727)". The record is from RNAcentral. Lineage: Eukaryota; Viridiplantae; Streptophyta; Magnoliopsida; Brassicales; Brassicaceae.